GAAUGCUGACAUAAGUAACGAUAAAGCGGGUGAAAAGCCCGCUCGCCGGAAGACCAAGGGUUCCUGUCCAACGUUAAUCGGGGCAGGGUGAGUCGACCCCUAAGGCGAGGCCGAAAGGCGUAGUCGAUGGGAAACGGGUUAAUAUUCCCGUACUUGGUGUUACUGCGAAGGGGGGACGGAGAAGGCUAUGUUGGCCGGGCGACGGUUGUCCCGGUUUAAGCGUGUAGGUGUGUGUUCCAGGUAAAUCCGGUUCACUUUAACACUGAGGCGUGAUGACGAGGCACCACGGUGCUGAAGCAACAAAUGCCCUGCUUCCAGGAAAAGCCUCUAAGCCUCAGGUAACAUCAAAUCGUACCCCAAACCGACACAGGUGGUCAGGUAGAGAAUACCAAGGCGCUUGAGAGAACUCGGGUGAAGGAACUAGGCAAAAUGGUGCCGUAACUUCGGGAGAAGGCACGCUGACACGUAGGUGAAGUGGUUUACCCAUGGAGCUGAAGUCAGUCGAAGAUACCAGCUGGCUGCAACUGUUUAUUAAAAACACAGCACUGUGCAAACACGAAAGUGGACGUAUACGGUGUGACGCCUGCCCGGUGCCGGAAGGUUAAUUGAUGGGGUCAGCGCAAGCGAAGCUCCUGAUCGAAGCCCCGGUAAACGGCGGCCGUAACUAUAACGGUCCUAAGGUAGCGAAAUUCCUUGUCGGGUAAGUUCCGACCUGCACGAAUGGCGUAAUGAUGGCCAGGCUGUCUCCACCCGGGACUCAGUGAAAUUGAACUCGCUGUGAAGAUGCAGUGUACCCGCGGCAAGACGGAAAGACCCCGUGAACCUUUACUAUAGCUUGACACUGAACACUGGUCCUUGAUGUGCAGGAUAGGUGGGAGGCUUUGAAGUGUGGACGCCAGUCUGCAUGGAGCCAUCCUUGAAAUACCACCCUUUAAUGGCUGGUGUUCUAACGUGGGCCCGUGAACCGGGUUGCGGACAGUGUCUGGUGGGUAGUUUGACUGGGGCGGUCUCCUCCUAAAGAGUAACGGAGGAGCACGAAGGUUGGCUAAUCCUGGUCGGACAUCAGGAGGUUAGUGCAAUGGCAUAAGCCAGCUUGACUGCGAGCGUGACGGCGCGAGCAGGUGCGAAAGCAGGUCAUAGUGAUCCGGUGGUUCUGAAUGGAAGGGCCAUCGCUCAACGGAUAAAAGGUACUCCGGGGAUAACAGGCUGAUACCGCCCAAGAGUUCAUAUCGACGGCGGUGUUUGGCACCUCGAUGUCGGCUCAUCACAUCCUGGGGCUGAAGUAGGUCCCAAGGGUAUGGCUGUUCGCCAUUUAAAGUGGUACGCGAGCUGGGUUUAGAACGUCGUGAGACAGUUCGGUCCCUAUCUGCCGUGGGCGCUGGAAGAUUGAGGGGGGCUGCUCCUAGUACGAGAGGACCGGAGUGGACGCAUCACUGGUGUU
RNAcentral lists this ribosomal RNA (1441 nucleotides) under Salmonella enterica subsp. houtenae. RNAcentral describes it as "partial 23S ribosomal RNA". It matches the Rfam family "Bacterial large subunit ribosomal RNA", at positions 1292 to 2716 of the family's 2925-position model. Lineage: Bacteria; Pseudomonadati; Pseudomonadota; Gammaproteobacteria; Enterobacterales; Enterobacteriaceae. The record is from RNAcentral.